This 447-nucleotide ribosomal RNA is filed under the name uncultured bacterium. Its description in RNAcentral is "bacterial SSU rRNA". It matches the Rfam family "Bacterial small subunit ribosomal RNA", at positions 355 to 825 of the family's 1533-position model. The record is from RNAcentral.
UGGGGAAUUUUGGACAAUGGGCGAAAGCCUGAUCCAGCCAUGCCGCGUGGAUGAUGAAGGCCUUAGGGUUGUAAAAUCCUUUCGUUGGGGACGAUAAUGACGGUACCCGAAGAAGAAGCUCCGGCUAACUUCGUGCCAGCAGCCGCGGUAAUACGAAGGGAGCUAGCGUUGUUCGGAAUCACUGGGCGUAAAGCGCACGUAGGCGGAUAGUUAAGUCAGGGGUGAAAUCCUGGGGCUCAACCCCAGAACUGCCUUUGAUACUGGCUGUCUCGAGGUCGAGAGAGGUUGGUGGAAUUCCUAGUGUAGAGGUGAAAUUCGUAGAUAUUAGGAAGAACACCAGUGGCGAAGGCGGCCAACUGGCUCGAUACUGACGCUGAGGUGCGAAAGCGUGGGGAGCAAACAGGAUUAGAUACCCCCGUAGUCCCUGAGCGGGCUGGCAAGGCGCAU